Molecule: long non-coding RNA, 43151 nt
Filed under: Carica papaya (papaya)
Lineage: Eukaryota; Viridiplantae; Streptophyta; Magnoliopsida; Brassicales; Caricaceae
Description: long non-coding RNA (CPAP_LNC007357)
Source: RNAcentral
UCUACGGCAGCUGGAAACCAAGUGAGAAAUGUAAGUUUUCAUGGCCUGGCUCAAGGUACUGCAAGAGGAGGUGUCCCUUCUGCAAGAAUUGCUGCGUAUAAAGUUUGCAACGGGACAAAAUGUUAUGCAGAUGUUAUCUUGACUGCUUUUGAUGACGCUAUUGCUGAUGGAGCUGAUGUUAUAUCAAUUUCCAUAGGAGGGAACAGUGCAUUUGCUUUUACUGAUGAUCCUAUUGCAACUGACGCAUUUUAUGCAAUGACAACAGGAAUUACAACAGUACAGUCUGCUGGAAAUUCUGGUCCGGACAGAUUUUCAGUAGUAAGUGUGGCACCAUGGAUUCUUUCUGUUGCAGCAGCCACCACUUGAUCAUUCAUUCAUUGAUAAAGUUGUUCUUGGAAAUGGAAAGACUUUAGUAGUAUGUAUCAAUAAAUCUCUUCCUUCUUAACCUGUGUAAUUUUCUGCAGACUGUACUUCAUUUUUGUGGAACUAUAUUCACCUUCCUAAUUAUAUAUGUUAAUGAUUGUUUCAAUACAAACAGAGUAAACCAAUUAACUCUCUUAGUCUACAAGGAGUAAAAUAUCCCUUGAUACAUGGGAAAAAUGUAACCAAGAACUGCUCUGCUGAAAGUGGAAAGUAAGUCAUAUUUAGGUGUUAUUAUAUCAUUUCAAAGAGCUUUUCUUGACGGUGAAGUAAGAAUCUUUCAUUUUUUUCACGUUUCAGGAUGUGCAGUGAAGGAUGUGUGAACAGUGCUUUAGUGAAGGGAAAAAUUGUGCUGUGUGAUACAGAGGAGGGAUCCUUCGUUGCUCGUAGAGCUGGAGGUGUGGGAUCAAUACUUGUUGACCUGAAUUCUGAGAAGGUUUCCGACAUAUACUCUUUACCGGUAUCAGUUUUACUACCUGAUGACUAUGAAAGAGUCAAGACAUACCUAAAAGCAGCAAAGUAGAGAUGUUAAUACCGGGUGUCAUUUGUAGAUUUUACUUGCUANNNNNNNNNNNNNNNNNNNNNNNNNNNNNNNNNNNNNNNNNNNNNNNNNNNNNNNNNNNNNNNNNNNNNNNNNNNNNNNNNNNNNNNNNNNNNNNNNNNNNNNNNNNNNNNNNNNNNNNNNNNNNNNNNNNNNNNNNNNNNNNNNNNNNNNNNNNNNNNNNNNNNNNNNNNNNNNNNNNNNNNNNNNNNNNNNNNNNNNNNNNNNNNNNNNNNNNNNNNNNNNNNNNNNNNNNNNNNNNNNNNNNNNNNNNNNNNNNNNNNNNNNNNNNNNNNNNNNNNNNNNNNNNNNNNNNNNNNNNNNNNNNNNNNNNNNNNNNNNNNNNNNNNNNNNNNNNNNNNNNNNNNNNNNNNNNNNNNNNNNNNNNNNNUUUGUUUGCCAAUUCAUGGUUCUUGCUCAACAAGUUACUAAUAUUUUCCCUUUUUCUUGUAGCUUGGAAAAUGACACCUUUCAAAAAUGCUGAUGCUGAAUUUGCUUACGGAUCUGGACAUAUCAAUUCUUUACAAGCUGUUGAUCCCGGCCUAAUAUACGAAGGUGGUAAAGAGGAUUAUAUAAAAAUUUUUUAUUCUUCGGGCUACAAUUUGAGUCAGAUCAAACAAUUAGCAGGAGACAAUAGCACUUGUCCUAAAAGGGCUGAUCAUGAGUCAUUAGUCAGUAGUCUAAACUAUCCUUCAAUGACUAUCAAGAUUGCUGAACCAUGAAAGCCAUUUAGGAUAGUUUUUCAUCAAACUGGCACAGAUGUUGGCUGCACAAACACCAUUUAUAAAGCACUCAUCUCCUCAUAUCCAAAUGUUAAUUUCAAAGUGGUGCCUCGAGUUCUCUCUUUCAAGGUUAAGGUUUCUGCAAAAGAAAUUGAAAAAGCCAAAGUCUGAAUCUUUGGUCUGGGUCGAUAAUUUCGGUCACAAAGUAAGGAGUCCGAUUGUUGUGUACUGAAUUUUAUAAAAGGGUUGCCACAAAUAAUUUUUAUUAAAAAUAAAAUUAAAAUUAAUGGGUUAGUAUUUAUUUUCUUUAAAUCCAUGCUUUCGUUGAGUAACUACAAAAUCAAUUAGAGUGCUACUUAAGCAUUAUAAUUAAUAGUAACUAUAAUUUUUUCUCAUACUAAGAGUGUUUUAAUUAGGUAACAGUAAAAAUUAUAAUUAUUAUAAUAGUGCAAUUUUAAUAUAGAAUUCAAGUAGAUAUUUUUAGUUUCAGUAAAAUUUUAAUUUUAUCAUUUUAGUUUUAGUCAAAUUUUUAAUUACAUAUAUACUGGAAUUACGACAAGUAAAACAAUUUUAGUUUGAUUAUUAAUACAACUGGAACAAAUCAGUUUUAAUUUUAAUAAAACUUGUAGCUAUAUUAAUGGGAAUUUUCGUAACAAAAUACAUGACAUUCGUGCUUCUUUGUUUCAUGGUUGGGUCGUGUUUGAACUUUGUGAAAUUUGCUCUGAACUCGACCAGUUAUUAUUCCUAGUGAACUCUACCUUGUAACAUAUUGUACAAAUACACAUCAUAAAUGAAAUCACAACUUUUGAUAGAAAAGAAAUAACAAUAUACCUGAAAAUUUAUGUAGUCAAAGUUCAAAAUGGUGUUUGGUAAAUUUGCAAGAGAUAAAAAUUCCAUCAGAAAUAAAACAUAUUCCUAUUUGGUUAGGGUAUUUGUUCAAAUCCUCCUUUAAAUACAUAGAAUCCUUAAAUAAAUGGAAAAAAUAAUGAAAUAUUAGAGUAAUUCAGUUUGCUGGUCUGUAUACAUAAGACCAAGACCAAGACCAUUUUAUAACCCAUUAGUUAAUAGGUUAAUGUGAAUGACUUGACUUGACUUUGUCAAAUUGGGUAUGAGGAAUGAUAUUCUGAUCAACCCAGAAUGUCAUAAAUUGGCUUUGUAAAAUUUACUAAUAAAUUUUUAUUACUUUUGGAAACAUAACAUUUUCUCUAUUAACAGUUUUAAGUAUCUCAUUUAAUUUUAUGAAUAUAAUGAUGAAAAGCUUAUGUAUUCAAGUCAAUUAACUUGAUAUAAAAAUUUCUGGGAAUUAAAUUUUUUCCAUUAUGUUUUCGGAUUAUUCAACCUUGUUCGAAUCUUUGCAGGAUAUCCCUUGUACUAAUUACUUUCUGCAUUCAUGGUUUAUAAUCCAAUUAAAAAAUUUUUAAGCAAGUUUUUCCUUGUAUCUUCUCCAGCUUAACUUCUUAAAAUUGAAGUUUUCAUAUUGGAUGAAUCAUUAGAAAAGGAAACAAGUUAACCAUGAACAUCAAGAUAAAUACCAAUCAAUCACUACACUUCUGCACAAUCAACAUUCAAGAAUGGCUAAGCAAGGGUUUGUCCUGUUUUCCUACCUUCUCUCUGUUCUACUACUCUGUAUUAGCCUAUCUUGUGAUGCCACCAAUGAGGAGAGAAAGGUAAAUGUGUAUUGUAUUUUUUUUUUCUGAUGUUGUUGAUAAUGGAUGACCUUACAAGGACUAAUAUUGGUGGUGGUGGUAAUGAUAAUGAUUUAGGCCUAUAUUGUGUACAUGGGAUCACUUCCUAAUGGCCAGUACUUUCCUGCAGCUCAUCAUGUUACCAUGCUUCAAGAUGUUGUUGGGGCCAGGUGAAAUUCUGGAACUUAUGUCCAUGCAGGCUUGUGAUUAUUCACCUAGAUAUAUAUAUAUAUAUAUAUGUAUGUACAAACAUUAGGUGACUCUUCUCAAUAUCAUAUUAUAUUGGGUUAGAAUCUAGAUGGUAUAAGAGCUAAUUUCUUGAUGUUUCAUAGUUUGGUCUUAUUUGUGAUUGACUGCUUACUGGGUUAGAGUUGUUAGGAGAUGUAAUGCCACAUUAACCAAAUAUGAGGAUUUGUAGUGGUUUACAUUGUUGUUUCUUUAAUUUUACAUUUUAAUGUUUUUCUGUCUUUUGCUAGCUUUGAAGAAAAUCUAUUGAUUCGAAGUUACAGAAGGAGUUUCAAUGGAUUUUCAGCCAUGAUCACUGAUUCUGAGAGAAAGAAGCUGGCCGGUGAGUGUUGCAAAUGCCUUUCUGUGUAAGAAAAUUCAAAAACAUGAUUGAAUCAUGGGCGACGACAGUGUGUAUAACAUUUACAUUUAAACUUUGAUCUUUGCAGCAAUGGAAGGAGUAGUCUCAGUUUUUCCAAGUAGAAUUUAUCAGCUCCACACAACAAGAUCUUGGGGCUUCAUGGGGUUCAACGAGACUACUGAUCAGAAGCUCCGCGAUCCAAAAAAGGAGAGUGAAGUUAUUGUCGGUGUUAUUGACACUGGAAUCUGGCCUGAAUCAGAAAGCUUCAGUAAUGGAAAUCUUGGUCCAGCUCCAGCGAAGUGGAAGGGUGCAUGUAAAGGUGGAAGCAACUUUACUUGCAACAAGUGAGUUUGACUCCUGUAUUUUCUGAAGUAAAUUAAUUGAUUUUUCGAAGUUUGGAACUUUUUGUGAGGUUAAUUCUGUCUUACAGCAAGCUUAUUGGAGCACGGUAUUAUACUACAGAUUCUGCAAGGGAUAGUGUUGGCCACGGAUCUCAUACUGCAUCUACAGCAGCAGGGAAUGCAGUAAAGGAUGUUCGUUUUUAUGGACUGGCUCAAGGUACUGCAACAGGAGGGGUUCCCUUUUCCAGGAUUGCUGUAUAUAAAGUUUGUGAUGAAGGAGGGUGUAACUCACAGGCCAUCUUGGCUGCUUUCGACGAUGCUAUUGCUGAUGGAAUUGAUGUCAUAUCAAUUUCAAUGGGACCAGCUAGUCCAACUGACCUGAUUGAAGAUCCUAUCUCCAUUGGUGCUUUUCAUGCAAUGGCAAAUGGAAUUUUGACAGUACAGUCAGCAGGAAAUUCUGGUCCAGCCAGUUUUUCAGUGGUUAGCACAGCGCCAUGGAUUCUUACUGUUGCAGCAAGCACCAUUGAUCGUGCAUUCAUUGACAAAGUUAUUCUUGGAAAUGGAGAGACUUUAGUUGUAUGUAUCUACAAAUCUCUUCCUUAUUGACUUUUCUGUAAACUGUACCUUUUUGUUUGUUUUCAGCUUCCUUAUGUUAAUGAUUGGCAUACUACAAACAGGGCAAAUCAAUUAAUUCUUUUAGUCUAAAAGGAGAAAAAUAUCCUUUGAUCUAUGGAAAAGAUGUCAGUUCGAACUGUUCUGCUGAGUCUGCAGGGUAGGUAUUUAGAUAGAUCAUUUCAACUUCAGGGCUAGUUGAUUGCUAUUAGUAUGCUAAUUAAUUAUGAAACUUUAACUUCUGAUAAAUUUCAGGAUGUGCGAGGAAGGAUGCUUGGAUAGUGAUUUAGUUAAGGGCAAAAUUGUUGUCUGUGAUCAGACGGGAUUUGCUGUUGUUCAGAAAGCUGGAGGUGUGGGAGCAGUUCUUAAAGAUUCGAUAGUAUCUGAGAAUGUUACAUCGGUUGUUUCAUUACCAGCAUCAGCUUUAGUACCUGAUGACUACGAAAAAGUCAAGUCAUAUCUUCAAACAACUGGGUAUGGAUAGAAAUACUGCUUGCCAUUUAUGUAUUUACUUUCUAGCUUUCCUUCAUAUAAGUCAUUCAUGAACCAUAUUUUAUAGGCCUGUAGUGGAAAUAUUGAAAAGUGAGACCAGAGAAGAUACAAAUGCUCCUGUUGUGGUUUACUUUUCUUCGCGUGGGCCAAAUUCAAUUGCUGAAGACAUUUUAAAGGUAGUUACCAUCUAUAGUCUCUACCUCUCAGAGAUCUCAUACCUUCAUUCUUCUAUAUUGGAGUUUUAUUGAUUUGAACCUUCGAUGCAAUGCAGCCAGACUUAACCGCUCCGGGGGUAAAUAUCUUAGCUGCUUUUUCACCUUUUGCUUCACCCUCAGGUGAUUCUUCAGAUAAUCGUCGUGUAAAUUACAAUCUAUUGUCUGGCACCUCCAUGUCUUGCCCCCAUACUUCUGGAGUUGCUGCUUAUGUGAAAGCCGUUCACCCCGACUGGUCUCCUUCAGCCAUCAAAUCUGCUCUGAUGACAACUGGUUUUCUUCUAUCACCUAACUUCCCAAUCAGCAGAACUACAUUCUUUGGUCUAAAUUUCAGGAUUUGAUGUUUUUUGGUGGUCAAACUAAUAAUCCUUUUCGCUUUUUCUUGUAGCUUGGCAAAUGACACCAUUCAAGAACGAAGAUGCUGAGUUUGCUUAUGGAUCUGGUCAUAUCAGUCCCUUACAAUCUGCUGAUCCCGGGCUUGUAUAUGAAACUGACCAACGGGAUUACAUACAAAUGCUUUGUGACUUGGGCUAUGGUUCGAGGCUCGGACAAAUAGCAGGAGGAAAUAGCACUUGUCCUGAGAAGAAAUCAUUUGUCAGGGAUCUUAACUAUCCUUCAAUGUCUUCCAGGAAUAUCAAACCAGAAGAGCCAUUUACAAUUACUUUUCAUCGAACUGUUACAAAUGUUGGUCAUGCAAACUCUGUUUACAAUGCAACCAUCUCCUCAAAUCCAAACGUUAAUAUAUCAGUGGCGCCUCAAGUUCUCUCUUUCAAGUCUUUGAAUGAGAAAAAGUCUUUCGAAGUUACUGCUGUCGGAAAUAAUUUGGCAUCUCCAGUGUCUGAAUCUUUGGUCUGGUCUGAUGAUUUUGGUCAUAAAGUGAGGAGUCCUAUUGUUCUGUACUCAUGAUCAUGAUUAGAAUAUUUCUAGUUUCAUUAGCAACCUUAUUGCCCAUCAAGCUGCAACCUCAUACAAUAACUUCUCACAAUUUAAAACUUUGUGAUAUUCUUAAAUUGUUAAUCAAAAAGUUCGUUUUUUCUUUCCAUAUAAUUUCUCACUCCAUUUUUGAACUGCAAAAUAGCUGAAUGUGUUAUGUGGUUCUUGUUUUAUUUGCUAGUUCUGCAGUUAUAUAAAUCUUUUUCUCUUUGUUAAUUUGUUCUUUCAAGGUUAUUGGUGUUAUAUGGUGCGAUUCUUUCUCUUAGCCUAAAUUUUAAGCAACAUUAAACGUUUUGAAUUCUGUAGUUUUGGUAUGCCAGUCCCCACUGAACAGAUAUGAUAAGUGAUAGUUGAAAUCGAUAUAAUUAAGAGAUCUAGUUACAAGCUAUCAAUAACUUGAAAUUAAACUUUUGAGUGCCAAUAGCUUGGAUCCAAAAAAUUAUUAGAACAAUUUGAUUCUUGGGCUUGGGGCAUUUUGUUCUUAACAAAUUAUAUUAGAAAACUUGCCAACUUGUUGACUCCAGUUUGGUUCGAUAUAGGACUUUAUGGACAUUGGAUUCCAAUUUGUGAUUGUAAUAUGUAUCAUUGAUAAGAAUAUCAAAGAUUUAUGUGGCAAAGAUUGUGGUACUCGAAUUCUAUGUCACAAAGAUUUAUGUGGCAAAAUAAACAAUAUUCGUGCUUCUUUGUUUCAUGGUUGGGUCGUGUUUGAAUUUUGUGAAAUUUGCUCUGAACUCGACCGGCUAUUAUUCCUGGUGAACUCUACCUUGUAACAUAUUGUAUAAAUACACAUCAUAAAUGAAAUCAAAACUUUUGAUAGAAAACAAAUCACAAUACACCUAGUGAAAUUAUCUUGAAAAUUUGUAUAGUCAAAGUUCAAAAUGGUGUUUGGUAGAUUUGCAAGGGAAAAAAAAAAUCCAAUCAGAAAUAAAAGAUUUUAGCAUACUAGGAAACAUAUUCCUAUUUGGUUAGGGUAUUUGUUCAAAUCCUUCUUUAAAUACAUAGAAUCCUUAAAAAAAUGGAAAAAGUAAUGAAAUAUUAUAUUAAUUCAGUUUGCUGGUCUGUAUGUAUCAAUUUUUUGUAAAUAAUAUAUUUGACUAUUUUUUGACUUUUACAUAUUACCAAGACCAUUUUAUAACCUCUUACUUAAUUGGUUAAUGUGAAUGACUUGCCUUGACUCUGUCAAAUUAGGUAUGAGAAAUGAUAUUCUGAUCAACCCAGCAUAUCAUAAAUUGGCUUGUAAAAUUUACUAAUAAAUUUUUUUUACUUUUGGAAACCAAACAUUUUCUCUGUUAACAGUUUUAAGUAUCUCAUUUAAUUUAAUGAAUAUAAUAAUGAAAAGCUUCUGUAUUCAAGUCGAUUAACUUGAUAUAAAAAUUUCUGGGAAUUAAAAUUUUUCCAUUAUGUUUUCGGAUUAUUUAACCUUAUUUGUAUCUUUGCAGGAUAUCCCUUGUACUAAUUACUUUCUGCAUUCAUGGUUUAUCUUCCAAUUAAAAGAAUUUUUAAGCAAGUUUUUCCUUGUAUCUUCUUAACUUCUUAAAAUUGAAGUUUUCACAUUGGAUGAAUCAUUAGAAAAGGAAACAAGUUAACCAUGAACAUCAAGAUAAAUACCAAUCAAUCACUACACUUCUGCACAAUCAACAUUCAAGAAUGGCUAAGCAAGGGUUUGUCCUGUUUUCCUACCUUCUCUCUGUUCUACUACUCUGUAUUAGCCUAUCUUGUGAUGCCACCAAUGAGGAGAGAAAGGUAAGUGUGUAUCGUAUAUUUUUUUUCCUGAUGUUGUUGAUAACGGAUGACCUUACAUAGACUAAUAUUGGUGGUGGUGGUGGUAAUGAUGAUGAUUUAGGCCUAUAUUGUGUACAUGGGAUCACUUCCUAAGGGCCGCCAGUACUUUCCUGCAGCUCAUCAUGUUACCAUGCUUCAAGAUGUUGUUGGAGCCAGGUUAAAUUCUUGAAUCUUAUGUCUAUGCAGAUUUGUGAUUAUUAACCUAUAUAUAUAUAUACACAAACAUUAGCAGACUCUUCUCAAUAUCAUAUUAUAUUGGGUUAGAAUCUAAAUGGUAUAAGAGCUAAUUUCUUGAUGUUUCAUAGUUUGGUCUUAUUUGUGAUUGACUCUGGGUUAGAGUUAUUAGGAGAUGUAAUGCCACAUUAACCAAAUAUGAGGAUUUGUAGUGGUUUACAUGGUUGUUUCUUUAAUUUUACUUUUUAAUGUUUUUCUGUCUUUUGUUAGCUUUGAAGAAAAUCUAUUGAUUCGAAGUUACGGAAGGAGUUUCAAUGGAUUUUCAGCCAUGAUCACUGAUUCUGAGAGAAAGAAGCUGGCCGGUGAGUGUUGCAAAUGCCUUUCUGUGUAAGAAAAUUCAAAAACAUGAUUGAAUCAUGGGUGACGACAGUGUAUAUAACAUUUACAUUUAAACUUUGAUCUUUGCAGCAAUGGAAGGAGUAGUCUCAGUUUUUCCAAGUAGAAUUUUUCAGCUCCACACAACAAGAUCUUGGGCCUUCAUGGGGUUCAACGAGACUACUGAUCAGAAGCUCCGCGAUCCAAAAAAGGAGAGUGAGGUUAUCGUCGGUGUUAUUGACACUGGAAUCUGGCCUGAAUCAGAAAGCUUCAGUAAUGGAAAUCUUGGUCCAGCUCCAGCGAAGUGGAAGGGUGCAUGUAAAGGUGGAAGCAACUUUACUUGCAACAAGUGAGUUUGACUCCUGUAUUUUCUGAAGUAAAUUAACUGAUUUUUCGAAGUUUGGAACUUUUUAUGAAGUUAAUUCUGUCUUACAGCAAGCUUAUUGGAGUACGGUAUUACACUACAGAUUCUGCAAGGGAUAGUAUUGGCCACGGAUCUCAUACUGCAUCUACAGCAGCAGGGAACGCAGUAAAGAAUGUCAGUUUCUAUGGACUGGCUCAAGGCACUGCAACAGGAGGGGUUCCCUUUGCCAGAAUUGCUGCAUAUAAAGUUUGCGAUGAGAGUGGGUGUAGUGCACAGGCCGUCUUGGCUGCAUUUGAUGAUGCUAUUGCUGAUGGAGUUGAUCUCAUAUCAAUUUCAAUGGGACCAGCAAUUCCAAGUGACCUGACCGCAGAUCCUAUCUCCAUUGGUGCUUUUCACGCAAUGGUAAAUGGAAUUUUGACAGUACAGUCAGCAGGAAAUUCUGGUCCAGACAAUUCUUCAGUGGCUAGCACAGCACCAUGGGUUCUUACUGUUGCAGCAAGCACCAUUGAUCGUGCAUUUAUUGACAAAGUUAUUCUUGGAAAUGGAAAGACUUUAACUGUAUGUAUCAAUAAUUCUCUUCCUUAAUGAUUUUCUAUAAACUCUACCUUUUAUUUGUUUUCAGCUUCCUUGUAUUAAUGAUAGGCUUACUAAAACAGGGAAAAUCAAUUAAUUCUUUUAGUCUAAAAGGAGGAAAAUAUCCUUUGAUCUAUGGAAAAGAUGUCAGUUCGCACUGCCCUCCUGAGUCUGCAGGGUAGGUAUUUAGUGAAACCAUUUAAACUUCAGGGCUAAUUGAUUGCUAUUAGUACGCUAAUAAAAUAUGAAAUUUUAACUUCUGAUGAAUUUCAGGAUAUGCAAUGAAGGAUGUGUAGAUAGUAAUUUAGUUAAGGGAAAAAUUGUUGUCUGUGAUCUGAAGAAGGGAUUUGCUGUUGUUCAUAAAUCUGGAGGUGCGGGGGCAGUUCUUAGAGACACGAUAGUAUCUGAGAAUGUUACUUCGGUUUUCUCUUUGCCAGCAUCAGCUUUAGGACCCAAUGACUACCAAACAGUCAUGUCAUAUAUUCAAACAACCGGGUAUGGAUAGCAACACUGCUUGCCAUUUAUGUAUUUACUUUCUAGCUUUCCUUCAGAUAAGUCAUUCUUGAACCAUAUUUUACAGCCCUGUAGCAGAAAUACUGAAAAGUGAGACCAGAGAAGAUACAAAUGCUCCUGUUGUGGCUUACUUUUCUUCACGUGGGCCAAGUUUAAUUACUGAAGACAUUUUAAAGGUAGUUACCAUCUAUAGUCUAUACCUCUCAGAUUUCUCAUAUCAUCAUUCUUCUAUAUUGGAGUUUUACUGAUUUCAAGCUUUGAUGCAAUGCAGCCAGAUUUAACUGCUCCAGGGGUAAAUAUCUUAGCUGCUUUUUCACCUCUUGCUUCACCCUCUCUUGAUCCUUCAGAUAAUCGUCGUGUAAAUUACAAUCUAUUAUCUGGCACUUCCAUGUCUUGCCCCCAUACUUCUGGAGCUGCUGCUUAUGUGAAAGCCUUUCACCCUGAUUGGUCUCCUUCAGCCAUCAAAUCUGCUUUAAUGACAACUGGUUUUCUUCUAUUUCUUAACUUUCCAAUCUACAGAACUACAUUAUUCUUUGUAAAUUUCAGGAUUUGACGUUUUUUAGUGGCCAAACUAACAAGUCUUUUCCUUUUUUCUUGUAGCCUGGCAAAUGACACCUACCAAAAACGCAGAUGCUGAGCUUGCGUACGGAUCUGGUCAUAUCAGUCCAUUACAAUCUGCAGAUCCCGGGCUUGUUUAUGAAACUGGUCAACAGGAUUACAUACAAAUGCUUUGCGACCUGGGCUAUGGUUCGAGGCUCGGACAAAUAGCAGGGGGGAAUAGCACUUGUCCUGAGAAGAAAUCAUUUGCUAGGGAUCUUAACUAUCCUUCAAUGGCUUCCAGGAUUAUCAAACCGAAAGAGCCAUUUACGAUUACCUUUCAUCGAACUGUUACAAAUGUUGGCCAUGCAAACUCCGUUUACAAAGCAACCAUCUCCUCAAAUCCAAAUGUUAAUAUAACAGUGGUGCCUCAAGCUCUCUCUUUCAAGUCUUUGAAUGAGAAAAAGUCUUUUGAAGUUACUGUCAUAGGAAAUAAUUUGAAAUAUCCAGUGUCUGAAUCUCUGGUCUGGUCUGAUGAUUUCGGUCAUAAAGUGAGGAGUCCCAUUGUUCUGUACUCCCGGUAAUGAUUAGAAUAUUUCUAGUUUCAUUAACCGUUUAUUGCCUAUCAAGCUGCAACCUGUUACAAUAAAUUCUCACCAUGUAAUAUUCUUAAAUUGUUAGUCAAAAAGUUCUUUAUUUUUCUUUUCCAUAUAAUUUCUCACUCCAUUUUUAGCAUAAAUCUUUGCAGUUAUGUAAAUCUUUUUCUCUUUGUUAAUUUGUUCUUUCAAGGUUAUUGGUGUUUUAUGGUGCGAUCUUUUUUCUUAGCCUAAAUUUUUAGCAACUAAACAUUUUGAGCUCUGUAGUUUUAGUACUCCAGCUCGCAUUGGAAAGAAAUGAUAUGUGAUAAUUAAAAACCAGUAAUUAAGGGAUAUUGUUGUAAACUACCUAUAAUUUGAAUUAAAACUUUUGAGUGCCAAUAAUUUGAUUCCAAAAAAUUAUUUGAUCAAUAAUUCUCGGGCUUUGGGUUUGCUAGCUUGUUGACUCGAAUUUGGUGCAAUGUUGGACUUUGUGGAUACUGAUUGUAAUAUGCACCCUUGAUAAGAAUAUUAAAGAUUUCAGUACUGGAAUCAUCUGCAGAGCAUGCUUCCGACUAGGGUUCUCCUGUAGCUGGCUGCAGUCAGUGUCCCACAGGACGGGAUGGAGGUGAAUGUCCCUUAUUGGGGCCUCUCGCCAGAUGGUAAGUUUUCUGUUAAAUUUACUUAUAAUAUGAUUACUGACAUAUCUUCUCUUUUUGCAGAUAACAGGUGGAACGUAGCUUGGAAGUGGUCGGACGUCCAACGUUUUCGACAUUUCUUUUGGAUAGUCUUGCGGAAAGGCUUGCUUACCAGCGAGGAGCGGGUCUGCAGGCAUAUGGCUGAUGAUCCGAUUUGCACUUUCUGUGGCCUUGACAUCGAGGACUUGAAUCACGUUUUGAGGGAGUGUCACCAGGCGAAGAACCUUUGGCAGAAGAUUAUUCCACAGAUAGCUGUCUAUAGCUUCUUCAACACUCCGCUCAAUGACUGGGUUUGUGCUAACCUGCAGAACAAUCGUAAUUGGUGUUCGUCAUUUCAGGACUGGAAGAUUAUCUUUGGCAUUGCUUGCUGGUUGCUUUGGAAACAACGUAAUGCCUUCAUAUUUGGUGGGAAUCUUCUUAGCUUGGAGGAGUUAAAACAGGAGGUGUUCAAGCCUCUAGUAUCGAGUCUACCAUCUCUGGCCAUGUUGUUGAGAAAUAGGAGAAGCUCGUCAGUUGGGCUCCACUACCCCAGGAAUGGAUUAAGAUCAACACAGAUGGGGCCCUCCGUGUUAGCAACAACACUGCUUAUUCUCGUGCGUUGGGUAGGGAUUGUAAUGGUCAGUGGCUUAGGGGGCACCUCAGGAAUAUUGAUGUUUGCUCUAUUCUCCAGGCGGAACAGUGGAAAGCCCUGGAUGGUCUCGAAUUAGUUUGGAAUUUGGGCUCACGCCAAGUUAUCCUUGAGAUGGAUAAUGCAUUUGCCGUCCAGAUCCUUAACAAAGUUUUUAACAAUGAAAUGAUCUCGGUUAAUGCGAACUCUAAUCUUAUCUUAGUUAUCAAAGUUUGGCUCAUGAAAAACUGAACUGUCAAGAUAUAACAUGUCUACCGUAAAGGUAAUCGGUAUGCAAACUACCUAGCAAAUCUUACUUUUGACCGGUGGCCUCCAUCACAUACAACAUCCUCCUAUGGAAUUAAUGAAUAUUAUUAGAGAGGAUCUCAUCAAAGUCUCUUGGCCUAAGAUGUACAAUCUUAGACGUUUUGGUUUGGUUUUAUUGUACUUCUUCUCCCUUUAUACCAAAAAAAAAAAAAGAUUUCAGUACUGGAGAUUGCAAUACUCUAACUCUACCUCACAAAGAUAUGAUACGUGAUUAUCGAGCUGCAUAUGAAGUCUGAUAUCACAUAUUACCAAUAAUUUGAGUUUAAACUUUUAAUACUAAUAUUUUUAGGCCCAAGAAAUUGUGAACUAAUGGUUCUUGGGCUGGGGACUUACAACCAAGUGUUUCAACUAGGAGAAGUUUCAUUACUCACGCUAAAAUACUGAAAGACUGCAGUCACUCUAUAAAAACAGCGGCAGUAUCUAAACUGUUCAAUUGAUUUUUUUCCAACAAAUUUUUUGUAGCGUCGGUUUAGUGGCAAUUUAGAAACUGCAGCUACAGUUUUCAAAUUAACUGCCGUUAGCAGACCUUAAAAACCGCUGACAAUUCUCCUUUUGUGCACUGUAUAUUGAUUAUUAUUAAACCUUAUUUGAUUUUGCUGGAUAUGCCUGAAGCAUUUCCUUCUAAACUUAAGCCAACUUCAUAAUUUUCUUAGAAGGUUUUAAACAGACAUAAAUAUUUUUUCCCUGUAUUAUAUAGAUUGCAGCCUAUCAGGGAAGGAAAAGAUCAUUUGCAGUCUAAGGUAACAUCUUAAUAUCAUUAAAAAUUGUGAAAUUUCUCAAUUCAUGAACCAAUAACAAUGGAAAAAAAAUUAAUUGUUCCAGAUCCUUAGAGGAUUAAAUGGAAAUAGAAAAUAAAACAAAUUAAUGCAACUUAAAAACAUAUUAAUGGUAUUAGAAAACCAUUUGUAUCACCCAUUGUUGCAGAAAAAUCAACAAUGGUUAAGAAAGGUUUUGUCCUGUUUCAUACCUUCUCUCUGUUAUCAUACUCAGAAUCAAUCUAUCUUGCCGUGCCACUAAUGAGGAUAGGAAGUUAAAGUAUCUAAAGAUUUUUGUUGACAUCAAGUUAUCUUACUUUGGACUAAUAUUGCUGAGGAUGAUGAUCUCAAAGAACUUUAUUAAUUAAGUUUUUCCUUAUGAUCUCAAACAAUAACUCAAUUGAAAUAAUAUUAAGCAAGUUUUUUCCUUGUACAACAGCGUAAGAUCUUUAAAUUAAAGUGUUCGUGUUGGAUGAAUCAUUAGAAAAAGGAAACACAUUAAUCAUGAAGAUAAAAUAAAUACCAACAAAUCACUACACUUUUGCACAAUCAACAUUUACAAUGGCUAAGGUAGAGUUUGUCCUGUUUCUCUAUGUUGUCUCUCUUCUAAUUCUCUGUAUGAGCCUAUCUUAUGGUGCCAACAAUGAGGAGAGAAAGGUGAGUGUGUAUGAAUUUUUUUUUUUUUUUUGACCUUUUUUGAUAACAAAUGACCUGAGAGAUUACUUAGACUACUAUUGAUGGUGGUGGUGAUGAUGAUGAUUUAGGCCUAUAUCGUGUACAUGGGAUCACUUCCUAAGGGCCAGUACUUUCCAGCAGCUCACCAUGUUACCAUGCUCCAAGAUGUUGUUGGGGCCAGGUGAAAUCCUUGAAUCUUACUUCUUGCAUAUUCAUAAUCAUCUAUAUAUAUACACACACACAUAUGUUGGGUGACUAUAUCCAGUAUCAUAUAAUUCUGGGUUAGAACUUGACAUGGCAUCUGCGCUUAUCUACUUCGUGGUUUGGAUCUAUCUGCGCUUGUCUACUUAUGUACACUCUGUGUGGGGCGGGGUGGGGGUGGUAGGAAUGUAAUACUACAUCAAUCAAACAUGAGAAUUUGUAAUGGUUUGUGUGAUUGUUUAGCCAUUCUUCUUAAAAUCAUUUUAUUUUGGAUUACAAUCUUACUCUAGUUAUUUCUUUUUUACUUUUUUUAAAUUUAGAUGUUCUAAUGUUUUUCUAUCUUUUGCUAGCUUUGAAGAAAAUCUAUUGAUUGGAAGUUACAGGAGGAGUUUCAAUGGAUUUUCAGCCAUGAUCACUGCUUCUGAGAGAAAGAAGCUGGUCGGUGAGUGUUGCAAAUGCCUUUCUGUCUAAGAAAAUUUAAAAACAUGAUUGAAUCAUGGAUGAUGGCAUUCUGUAUAAGAUUUAUAUUUAAACUUUGAUCUUCACAGCGAUGAAAGGAGUAGUCUCAGUUUUUCCAAGCAGAAUUUAUCAGUUACACACAACAAGAUCUUGGGGCUUCAUGGGGUUCGACGAGACUACUGAUCAGAAGCUCCACGAUCUAAAAAAGGAGAGUGAGGUUAUCGUUGGUAUUAUUGACAGUGGAAUCUGGCCUGAAUCACAAAGCUUCAGUGAUGGAGAUCUUGGUCCAGCUCCAAAGAAGUGGAGGGGUGAAUGUAAAGGUGGAAGCAACUUCACUUGCAACAAGUGAGUUUGACUCCUAUAUUUUCUGAAGUAAUUUAACUGAUUUUUGAAAGGUUGAAAUACUAAUACGUACCUUACAGCAAGCUUAUUGGAGCACGAUAUUAUGCUUCAGACUCUGCAAGAGAUACUGACGGUCACGGAUCUCAUACUGCAUCUACAGCAGCAGGAAACACAGUAAAGAAUAUAAGUUUUUAUGGGCUGGCUGAAGGUACUGCAACAGGAGGGGUUCCCUUUGCCAGGAUUGCCGCAUAUAAAGCUUGUGGUGAAAGUGGGUGUAGUUCACAGGCAAUCUUGGCAGCUUUUGAUGAUGCUAUUGCUGAUGGAGUUGAUGUCAUAUCAAUUUCAGUGGGACCAUCACUUCCAAGUGAAGUGAUUGAAGAUCCUAUUGCCAUUGGUGCUUUUCAUGCAAUGGCAAAUGGAAUUUUGACUGUGCAGUCUGCAGGGAAUACUGGUUCUGGCCGUUUUACAGUGGUAAGCACAGCACCAUGGAUUCUGACUGUUGCAGCAAGCACCAUUGAUCGUGCCUUCAUCGACAAAGUUGUUCUUGGAAAUGGAAAGACUUUAGUGGUAUAUAUCAAGAAAUCUCUUCCUUAUUUCUGCAAAUAGUACAACUUCUUAAAUAUUUGGCUUCUUUAUGUUUAUGAUUAGCUCACUACAAACAGGGAAAAUCAAUUAAUUCAUUUAGUCUAAAAGGAGAAAAAUAUCCUUUGAUCUAUGGAAAAGAUGUCACGACGACCUGCACCCCUGAGACUGCAGGGUAGGUACAAUUCAGAUAAAUCAUUUCAAAUUGACAGCUUGUUGUUUUUCUCAGUAUGCUGAUGAAGUAAGAAACUUUUAAAUUCUGGUGAAUUUCAGGCUGUGCAGCAAAGGAUGUCUGGAUAAUAAUUUAGUUAAGGGAAAAAUUGUUGUCUGUGAUCAGAAGAAGGGAUUUUCCGUUGUUCAUAAAGCUGGAGGCUUGGGGUCUGUACUUAGAGACACAAUAAUUUCAGAGAAUAUUUCUUUCAUUUACUCCUUGCCAACAUCUGCUUUAGAGCCUGAUGAGUACGAUACUGUCAAGUCGUACCUUAAAACAACAGAGUACGAAAAGCAAUACAGCUUCCCAUUUACUGUACUUUCUUCUAGCUUUCCUUCAGAUAAGUCAUUCAUGUAACAUAUUUUACAGCCCUGUGGCAGAAAUAAUGAAAAGUGAGACUAGAGAAGAUACAAAUGCUCCUGUUGUGGCUGUCUUUUCUUCGCGUGGCCCGAAUCUUCUUAUCGAAGAAAUUUUGAAGGUAGCUACUGCCAUAGGCAAUGCCUCUCAGAGCUCUCAUAUCUUCAUUCUUCUAUAUUGGAGUUCUAUUGAUUUGAACUUUGAUGCAAUGCAGCCAGAUUUAACAGCCCCAGGGGUAAAUAUCUUGGCUGCUUUUUCACCUCUUGCUUCACCCUCAGGUGAUCCUUUGGAUAAUCGCCGUGUAAAUUACAAUCUAUUAUCCGGCACCUCCAUGUCUUGCCCCCAUGCUUCUGGACUUGCUGCUUAUGUUAAGGCAUCCCACCCUGAUUGGUCUCCUUCAGCCAUCAAAUCUGCUUUAAUGACAACUGGUUUUCUUUUAUCUCCUAACUUCCUCAUUCAAAACAUCAACUUUUUCUUUGUAAAAAUUUCAGGAUUUGAUGUUUCUUGCUGGCCAAACUAACAAUCCUUUUCCUUUUUCUUGUAGCCUGGGAAAUGACAAGUUCCAAAAAUGUGGAGGGUGGAUUAGCUUAUGGAUCUGGGCAUAUUAGUCCUUUACAAUCUACAGAUCCUGGGCUUAUAUACGAAGCUGAUAAAUAUGAUUACGUACAAAUGCUUUGCGACUUGGGCUAUGGUUCAAAGCUUGGACAGAUAGCAGGAGACAAUAGCACUUGUCCUGAGGAGAAAUCAUUUGUCAGGGAUCUUAACUAUCCUUCAAUGGCUUCUGGCAUUAGAAGCACAGAAGAGCCAUUUACAGUCACUUUUCAUCGAAUUGUUACAAAUGUUGGCCGUGCAAACUCCGUUUACAAAGCAACCGUUUCUUCCUCAAAUCCAAAUGUUAAUAUAACAGUGGUGCCUCAAGCUCUCUCUUUCAAGUCUUUGAAUGAGAAAAAGUCUUUCAAUGUUACUGUUGUCGGAAAUAGUUUGGAAUCUGCAUUAAUGUCCGAAUCCUUGGUCUGGUCUGAUGGUUUCGGUCAUAAAGUGAGGAGUCCCAUUGUUUUAUUUGGCUCCUGAUUAGAAUUUUUCUAUUUUCAUUAGCAAUCUUAUUGCUAAUCAAGCUGCAGCCAGUUACAACAAAUUUUCACACUUAAGCCUUUGUAGCAUUGUUAAAUUGUCAAUAAAAAGUUUUUUUUUUCAAUAUUAUAACAUUCUCAUUCCAUAGUUGAACUCCAAUAGCUGAAUAUGUAAUGGUUUUUUUCUCGUUUAUUUGGUAGUUCUGUGACGAUUAAAUAAGGGAGAAAAUUUUGGCAGUACCAUUUUCUUGGUACCUGUACUUGUCUACAAGAUUCUCAAAUAUCUCAAAAGCUCUUCAGAAAAGAGUUUAUUCUUUAAAAAGAGUGAAAUCAUGGUAAUAUAAGUAUUCACAGAUGUAGAUUGAGCAGGUUUAACAAAAAAUAGAAGGUUUAUUAUCGGAUAUUUUACAUUUAUUUGAGGGAACUUGGUUACAUAGGUGAGUAAAAAACAAAAUACGAUGGCGAGAAGUAGUGCUGAAAUGUUAUUUAGAGUACGGACAUAGAGAAUUUGUAAAGGACUGGAGUUGCAAGUAGAAGCCAAAUUACCGAUAAAAAUCUACUGUAACAAAAAAGUUGUCAUCAAUAUUUCACUCAAUUCUGUAAGACAUGAUAGGACCAAACAUGUGGAAAUAGAUUGACAUUAUAUUAAAGAAAAUGUAGAAGAAGAUAUUAUCUACAUGACAUGUGUCUAACAAAGAGCAAAUCAUAGAUAUCCUCACUAAAGAUCUUCCUCGAUGAAGUUUUGACAAUGUUCUUCACAAGUUGGAUAUGAUCUAUAUCUACAAUCCAACUUGAGGGGGUGUUGGAAUCUCGUAUGUUAAAGGAUUAUGAUUGACAUUUAAUGGAACAAAAUCAUUAUCGGAAUCUUGAGAUUAUAGUUGAUAUUUAAUAGCAGAAAACCAAUGAUUGAUUUCACUAAUUAAUUAGGUAUAAUUUUUUAAUUAAUUAGGUGCAGUCAAUUACUUGAAUUUUUUCUUUUUGUUCGUAGACUCUUGUACUAUAAAAUAGAAGAGAGUUUUACAAAUCGCUCUGAAUUCUCCUUUUAUGCACUGUAUAAUGAUCAUUAAACCUUAUUUGAUUUUGCUCGAUAUGCAAGCAAUACUGCCUUCUAAAUACACUGUAUACUUUUGAAGUUAAUAAGCCAAGUUCAUAAUUUUGUCAAUGGGAUUUAAACAGACAUAAAUAAGUUUCCCUUGUAUUAAGUACCCUAUCGGGGAAGAAAAAUUAAGAUAAUAUCUGAAUAUCAUUGAAACAUGUAAAGUUUUUUAAACCUUAUUACUUACUGUAUAAUGAUUAUUAAAGCUUACUUGAUUUUGCUGAAUAUGCAAGCAGUACUUCCUUCUAAUACACUGUAUACUUAAGCCAAGUUCCUAAAUUGGUCAAUGGGAUUUAAACAGACAUAAAUGAGGUUCCUUGUAUUAAGUACCUUAUCAGGAAAGAAAAUUAAGAUACAAUCUAAAUAUUAUGUGAAGUUUUUAAAUUCAUGGACCAAUAGAGAAAUAAUAAACAUUAAUUUUUUCAGAUUCUUUAACGGGUAAAUGGAAAUAUAGGAUGAAAAAAUCUAAUACAGCUCUAAAACAGAUUGAAGGUAUAAAAAAGCUAGUCAUGUCACCUUAUUGUUGCAGAAAAAUCAACAAUGGCUAAGCAGGGUUUUGUCCUGUUUUAUUACCUUCUAUCUACUGUCAUCCUCAGCAUCAACUUAUCUUGGGCUGCCACGAAUGAUAGAAAGGUAAGUGUCUUCUGAUCUUUUUUGACAUCAACUCAUUUAUCUUGGACUAAUAAUGCUGAUGAUGAUGAUUCAGGUGCAUAUUGUGUACAUGGGAUCACUUCCUAACCGCGUGUAUUCACCAUCGUCACAUCAUUUUACCAUGCUUCAAGAUGUCAUAGGGGCUAGGUGAAAGCAAUGGAUCUCAGUUUGUCUUAUUUCAUUUACUUUCUUCAAGAAAAUUUACCUUAUUACUAAUAUCCAUCUCUGUUUUUUCCCAGCUUCGAAGAAAAUUUAUUGGUCAGAAGUUACGGAAGAAGUUUCAAUGGAUUUGCAGCCAAUAUCACUGAUUCUGAGAAACAGAAGCUUGAAGGUGAGUACUUUUCCUUUCAAAACAAUUUGACACAUGAUUGAAUCGAGAUCAUGAGACUAUAUUAAUUUUUUUACCUGCAGCAAUGGAAGGAGUUGUUUCAGUUUUUCCAAGGACAAUUUUUCAUCUCCAGACAACGAGAUCCUGGGGCUUCUUGGGGUUUAACGAUACCCGCAAGCUUCAUGAUCCAAGAGUUGAGGGCAAUAUUGUAGUUGGUGUUAUUGACAGUGGAAUCUGGCCUGAAUCAAAAAGCUUUAAUGAUAAAGGUUUUGGUCCUGCACCAAAGAAGUGGAAGGGUGCAUGUAAUGGUGGCAAAAAUUUCACUUGCAACAAGUAAUUUUUCACUCCUACGCUUUCUGAAAAUAUGUAUAUUACAGACUUGCAAUCAGGUCUAUAAGCUAUUUCAAAUUUAGUUCUUUUAAGUAUUUACUGGGUUUUAGUUGAUUAUUAGUAAGUAGGAAAUUUUGAAAUUAUUCUGGCAACAAACUGUCAACAAUCUAUAAUUCUAAUUCAUAUUUACAGCAAGAUUAUUGGAGCGCGAUUUUAUACUACAGACUCCGCAAGGGAUACUGAUGGUCAUGGAUCCCAUACUGCUUCUACAGCAGCAGGAAACGAAGUAAGUGAUGUAAGUUUUUUUGGAAUGGCAAAAGGAGUUGCGAUAGGAGGGGUUCCUUUCGCAAGAAUUGCUGCCUAUAAAGUUUGUGUAGAAAAUGGGUGUGGCACCGAAGCUCUUUUGGCUGCUUUCGAUGAUGCUAUUGCUGAUGGAGUUGAUGUCAUAACAAUUUCAAUAGCUCCAGCAAUUGGGCUAGAUUUUGUGAAUGAUCCUAUCGCAAUUGGCGCUUUUCAUGCAAUGGCGAAAGGAAUUAUUACAGUGCAGUCUGCAGGAAAUUCUGGUCCUUCAAGUACUUUAGUGGCAAGUGUAGCGCCAUGGAUUCUUUCUGUUGCAGCAAGCACCAUUGAUCGUUCCUUCGUCAAUAAAGUUGUUCUCGGAAAUGGCAAGACUUUAGUAGUAUGUAUCAUGAGAUCUCUUCCUUGUUAACCUAUGUGAUUUGCUGUACACUAUAAAUUUUUUAAUAUGCUCAACUUGUUUUAUUAAUUUACUCAACACAAACAGGGCAAGGCAGUUAAUACUUUCAGUUUAAAUGGAGUUAAAUAUCCCUUGGCCUAUGGAAAAGGUGUUAUUGCUUCAGGCUGCACUGAUGAUCUUGCAGAGUAGGUGCUAUUCAGAAAUCAUUUCAGCUUGAAACUUUAAAUUCUUAAUAUAAUUAAUUAGUUAAACCAUUUAAGUAAAAUAGAUUCUGAUUCUUGGUGAAUUUCAGGCGAUGCUUGGUAGGAUGUUUAGACAGUGGCUUAGUGAAGGGAAAAAUUGUGCUAUGUGAUGAGAUUGGUGGAUAUUCUGUUGUUCAAGACGCUGGAGGUCUGGGAUCACUACUUAAAGCGAAAAGUUCUGAAGCUAGUUCCAAUCUUUUCCCAGUACCUGUAUCAGCUUUAGUAGAUGUUGACUAUGACACAGUCAAGGAAUACAUUAAAACAACAGAGUAGGAUAUCAAUACUUGUUUUCCGUGUUCUAGUGUUUCUUUCAGUAAGUCAUUCUUACACUAAAUUUUACAGCAAGCCUGUAGCAGAAAUACUGAAAAGUGAGACCAUCGAAGAUUCAAAUGCUCGUAUUGUAGCUUACUUUUCUUCGCGUGGGCCAAAUUCCAUUGCACCAGAUAUUUUAAAGGUACCUAAUUAACAGACCCAAAAAUUGAAGUUUUACCACUAGCAUUUGCUGAUGUAAAGCUUUGAUGCAAUGUAGCCGGAUUUAUCAGCUCCAGGAGUGGACAUCUUGGCUGCAUUUUCUCCCCUAGCACCCCUCACAAAAGAUAAAUCAGAUUCUCGGCGAGUAGACUACAACGUGAUGUCGGGAACCUCCAUGGCUUGCCCCCAUGUCGCUGCAGUUGCUGCUUAUGUCAAAGCAUUGCACCCUGAUUGGUCUCCUUCAGCCAUCCACUCUGCUCUUAUGACAACAGGUUACAAAACUUUCCCACCCUUAACAUCAUUUUUUAUUUUUUAUUUUCGUUUUCAUUAUUUGAUAUUUCUUGCUUGCAAAGUAACAGUUUUUAUUUUCAUGUAGCCUUGCCAAUGAAACCUUCAAGUACUUCCGAUGCCGAAUUUGCUUAUGGAUCUGGACAUAUCAAUCCUUUACAAUCUGCUAAUCCCGGGCUUGUAUACGAAGCUAGUAAAGAGGAUUACAUAAAAGUGCUUUGUGGGUUGGGCUAUAAUUCGAGUGAGAUCAAGAAAAUAUCAGGAGAUGAUAGCACCUGUCCUGUCGGGGCUGAUACCUCACUAGUGAGGAAUCUUAAUUACCCUUCAAUGGCUACCAACAUUACUGAACCAGGAAAACCAUUCACGGUUGUUUUUCACCGAACUGUCACGAAUGUUGGCCUUGCAAAUUCCGUUUACAAAGCAACAAUCUCCUCGAAUGCAAAUAUUAAAAUCACAGUCGAGCCUAACGUUCUCUCUUUCAAGUCUUUGAAUGAGAAAAUGUCAUUCGACGUCACAGUCGUUGGAAAUAAAUUGGAUUCUCCAGUAGUAUCUGGAUCUUUGGUCUGGUCCGAUUCCACUCAUCAAGUGAGGAGUCCCAUUGUCAUGUCCGCCUGUUAUACCUGUAAUAAUGUUAAUGGCAUUUAACAAAAUUAAAUUACACAUUUACUAUGAUUUCAAAAAUAUAUUUUUCUAUGAGCAAUCUCACUGCUUCGUCUAGUUGUAACUUGUUACAGUACAAUUCAAAUAUAUAUAUAUAUAUAUAUAGUGGUCCUGCACUUUAAAUUCUUGUUCAAUUCUCUGUUUGUUUCAUGCAAUCUUGAGCCUCCAACAACUGUUUUCUUAACGGUCUGCUCCUCUGGUAUCUUUCUUCCAAGAACACCUCCAGUUGGGUUGACAGUGAUUCAAUCUGAAUCGGUGAGGAAAUGGAAGCUAAACCCGAAUCUGUCCCAGCGGAUUUGAAUUUUUUUAUUUCUUCGAAUUGUGUCGAAUUUAUUUAUUAUUUAACUGAAUCUGACUAACUCAUUUUAUUAUAUUAAUAAAAAUAUAAUAAUUAUAUGUAUACUAAAAAUGUUUAAAAUAUAUUUAUUAAUAUGUAUAAUAACAUAUACUAAUUAUAUUAUAUUAAUAUAAAUAUAAUUAUAUUUUUAAUAUGAUAUUUUUUAUUUAUUUAUUUAUAUAAAUAUAUUUAUAUAUAUAACAAUAAAAAAUUAAAAAAUAUAUAUAUAUAGAGCGGGGAUCUCAUAAAAAUAUACACAACCUGAGAAGGAGCCAUUUGUUAAGGAUUCUAAACUGUCCUUCAAUGGCUUCCACUAUUGAAAAACCAGAAAAGCCAUUUACAAUCACUUUUCAUCCAACUGUUACAAACGUUGGCUGUGAAAACUCUGUUUACAGAGCUACCAUCUUCUCAAACCAACAUGUCAAUAUCACAGUGGUGACUCAAGCUUUCUCUUCCAAGUCUUUGAAUGAGAAAAUUUCUUUCAACAUCACUGUUAUUGGGAAUGAUUUGAAACCUUCAGGAAUGACUAUCCUUCUCCAAUCAUCUUCAUGCCUCUCCCUUAGCUCCAGAAAAUGGCUACCUCUAUUUCUGUCUGACCUGAUUGAAAUCAUUCCAUUGAUUGAUAUGUCAACUAACUUCAAGACUGAAGCCCAAUAUUUUGACUCUUACAAUUAAAAUUUGUCUCCUUUUUUUGCAAACAAGGUUUGUUUUCCGGGUUCUAUAUAAGCUGGUUACUAAUAAAAAGAAAAUAAUGAUGAAAUUGAAAAUCAAUGAAAAGUUAUUGAUGAUAACAAACCGUGUUCUUAUCCGGCGAUAUGAUAUAUGUUUUCUUCAACAUAUAUAUGGCAUUCUUUUGUACAUGUGUCAAGAAGCUACAAUUCAGGAUAAUGUCAAUCCUAAUACAUUGUCUUCAGUACACAAAUUUAGAAUUAGUUUUGCUGGAUUUCCAUACUUGCAAACAUGUGAAUGAUUUUCCUAUUUUGUUAGACUAUUAUGGAUUGUUAUCUCACCUUACUCUGGUUGUGAGAUAUGAAAAAUUAAUUUCCUAGGAUUUUCUAGAUUCAAAUCGAUGUAUAUCAUAGUACAUAUUUUCAUUAAUCUCUCAUUCAUUGCGUCCUAGUACUACAACAACAAACGCUAAACAUGAGCUUAUACUGUUUUAUUACUUUCUCUCCGUUCUCAUACUCAGCAUGACCAAAUUUUGUAGCAGCAGUGACGAGAAAAGAAAGGUAAAUAUUCUUUAUUUCAUAAGUAUUUGUUCGCUAAGAUUUUAGAGAACGAAAAAUGCAACUCCACUACAGGAAUGUUGAUUGGUUUGAUUAUUGUCUGCGAUGAUGAUGAUGAUGCGGGUACAUAUUGUAUACAUGGGAUCGCUUCCUAACUGCGAAUACUUGCCAUCAUCUCACCAUCUUACUAUGCUACAAGAUGUUGUUGAGGGCAGGUAAAAAUUUUGAAAUUUUAGUAUACAUAUUAACUUAACGGCUUAAGCUUAUCUUUCCUGCUAGCUUAAUUUUUUUAAGAUGAGUGGUCAUAAUCAAUUAUUUCAUUGCUGCAAUCUCUACCUCGUUAUUUUUCCAGCUUUGAAGAAAGUUUAUUGAUCAGAAGUUACAAAAGGAGUUUCAAUGGAUUGUAGCCAACAUCACUCAGUCUGAGAAACAAAAGCUAGCUGGCGAGAACUGCAAAAUGCUUAUCUAUUCUACUUUAAGUUCAAAAUAUGAUUGAAUCAUGGGUUAGAAAAUGUAUGUCUAAACUUUGAUGUGUGCAGCCAUGAAAGAAGUGGUCUCAGUUUUUCCAAGUACAACUUAUGAUCUCCUAACAACAAGGUCUUGGGACUUCAUAGGACUCAACGAGACCACGAAUCGUAAUACCAGUGCUGAGAGUGAUAUCAUAGUUGGUUUACUUGACACGGGGGUCUGGCCUGAAUCAGAAAGCUUUAGCGAUAAAGGUUUCGGUUCUGUUCCUGAGAAGUGGAAGGGUGCUUGUAAAGGGGGUGAAAAUUUCACUUGCAAUAAGUAAUUUCACUCCUAUAUUCCCAAUCUGUUGCUUCCUUAUAUAUCUAUUAGCUUUUUAACUUCCCUUUUAUAUAACUUUUCUUGCAGCAAGCUUAUCGGAGCCCGGUACUAUUCCUCGGAAAUAACAAUUACAUCUGCUAGGGAAAAUGUUGGACAAGGAUCUCAUACUGCUUCCAUAGUGGCAGGAAAUAAGGUGAAGGACGCAAGUUUUUAUGGGUUGGCGCAGGGGACUGCAAGAGGAGGUUUUACGCUCUGCAAAAAUUGCUGCAUAUAAAGUUUGUGAAGAUUCAUGUAAUUCAGAUCAAAUCUUGGCUGCCUUCGAUGAUGCUAUCACGGAUGGAGUGGACAUCAUAUCGGUUUCAUUGGAAAAAAGAGUUGGGGUUAAGUUUGAGGAAGAUUCUAUUGCUAUUGGUGCUUUCCAUGCAAUGGACAAUGGAAUUCUCACGGUUAAUGCAGCAGGAAAUUCUGGUCCUUUUACCGAAAACGCGGCAAGUGUAGCAGCAUGGCUUUUUUUGGUAGCAGCAAGCAGCAUUGAUCGUAAGUUCAUUGACAAGGUUGUUUUUGGGAAUGGCAAGACAUUAGUAGUAGAUGUCAUAAAAUAUCUUACCCUCAUUACAUAUUUAAGGUAAUCAACUUUUGAGAAAUUUCUUGUGCUAAUGGGAUUAUGUCUACAAAAACAAGGCGAUUCUCUUAAUUCAUUUUCUCUCCACGGGGAAAAGUAUCCUUUGAUAUUUGGAGAAAAUGUUACAAGUGUCUGCUCUGGGAUUCUUGGCAAGUAGGUCUUGUGCAGAAAAAAAAAAUCCAACUUCAUAGAUUUUUUCGUGAAGUUACAUUAUUUAAUAAGGCAUUUUGAUUAUUUGAUUAAUCUCAGGCAAUGUGACCCAGCAUGUAAAUACAGUGACAAAGCAAAGGGAAAAAUUCUAGUAUGUGGUGAAGGGAAUGCACCCAUGGGAAGUGCUGCAGCUACAUAUGCUGGCGCUGCGGGAUCAAUAUUCAACAAUCAAAGAUCCUAUUACUUCAUGGCUUACCCUAUCCCCACAACAGUUUUAAGAAAAGUGACUAUGAUUCAGUCAAGGACUAUAUGACAACAACAGCGUACAAAAUGACUAAAUCCAUUGUUUAUACAUUAAUAUUUGUUUCCCAGCUUUUGUGCUUUUCUCUUUACAUUAAUCAUUUUUUGGUGUCGUUAUACAGGAAUCAUGUGGCAGAAAUACUUAAAACGGAGGGCAUUAAAGAUUUGAGGGCAUGUGUUGUCGCUUCAUUUUCUUCGCAUGAGCCUAAUGCUAUUACUUCAGACACUAUAAAGGUACAUCUUGUGCAUAGCCUAAACCACUUAUGUCUCAUAGUCUCUAAAUUGGAAUUUGUAGUUAGGCUGCUAGUUUUUGCUACUAAAAUCUGAAAUAUUGCAAUGCAGCCAGAUGUAACUGCUCCAGGGUUGAGUAUCUUGGCAGCAUUUUCUCUUAACGCUUCACUAUCAAGUACCUUUGCUGACAAGCAGCGUGUCAAAUACAUGAUAUUCUCUGGAACCUCCAUGUCUUGCCCCCAUGUUUCUGGGGCUGCUGCUUAUGUGAAAACAUUUCACCCUGAUUGGUCUCCGGCAACCAUUAAAUCGGCUCUUAUGACUACUGGUAAAUCAACUUCAAAUCCCACCAUUACAUAAAUUUUAUUUUAAAAUUUCAUGGUUUGUAUAGGUUUUUGUUUCUUACUUUCUUAAUGAUAAUCUUUGUUUUCCUUGUAGCUUGGUCUAUGAAUUCUUCAAAAGAUUUUUCAGAUGCUGAAUUUUCUUUUGGAUCCGGGCAUAUCAGUCCAGCACAAUCCGUUGACCCGGGACUUGUAUAUGAUGCUAUGAAAGGGGACUACAUAAAAUUGCUUUGUGGCAUGGGCUAUAAUGGGAGUAAACUUAAACAGAUAUCAGGAGAUAAAUCAUUAGUUAGGGAUCUUAAUUAUCCUUCAAUGGCUGUUAAGGUCGAGCUAAACAAGAACUUCACGAUUACGUUUCAUCGAACUGUUACUAAUGUUGGCCCUGCAAACUCCACUUACAAGGCAAACAUCACCCAGAAUCCAGAAAUUAGCAUCAAAGUGAUGCCUGAGACUCUCAUUUAAGUCUUCAAACUAGAAACAGUCUUUCAAUGUCACUGUCGAGGGAAAACUGUCACAACAUUCAGAAAGAGUGUCUGCAUCUUUGAUCUGAUCUGAUGGCACUCAUAGUGUGAGGAGUCCUAUCGUUGUGUAUACAAAUUAGAACCCAUUGUGCUUUAUCAGUAAACUUUUUUCGCUGUAGGAAGCUGCAAUCUGUUACAAUAAUGUGUUUUUGAACUUAAAGCUUUAUUUAUUGUCAUAAUAUUGUGAAGAAAAAAUGAGAUACCUUUUCUCUAUUCUGCCUAAAUAUAUAUAUAUAUAUAUAUAUAUAUAUUGAAAACUACAGAAAGAAUAUCAGCAGCUUCUAUCUGGUCUGAUGGCACUCAUAGAGUAAAGAACUCGACAAUUACAUAUUUUCCAACAUGGGAUUGAAGUUGUUAAUGUAUUAACACUUUUCUUAUUACACAUUUAUGUUAAGGUACAUAUAUGUUUAAAUAGUUACAUUAAUUUUAAGGUGCAUGUAAGUACAUUUAUACAUAUAUAUUUAAAUAGGUACAUGAAUCUGAAAGUGCAUGUAAGUGCAUUUAUGCAUAUAUACUUAAAUAGGUACAUGAAUUUUAAGGUGCAUGUAAGUAUAUUUAUGAAUGGUUUAUCAUAUGCAUAUAUCUCCUUUUCUUUAUAAACCAUUUUGUAUUUUGAACACAACAUAAUAAGAAAAAAAUUAAGUUUUUAUCUAUACUUUCUCCUUCCUAAAUGUAUCUAUAGAAAGUCCGGACAAGGCCAAAUGAGGUAUUGCUUCCUUGGGAACUUUUCAUUUUAAAACUGCCUCACUUGGCAGCAUAAAUUUACACAAGUUUAGAAGUUAAAAUAGUGGACACAUAAUUUCUCUUCCUUAUAUUGAUCAGAGCUGAGAAAACCUUUGUGUUAGCAAAAGAAGCUGCACUUUCUUUUUUCCUAAAAGAAAACAUAUCAUAAAAACUUAAUUCUUUUUUAUGUAAAGAGAAGCCAAAUUCAGAAUUUUUGGAUUUACCUGCAAAAUCUUAUUUAUGGUAAGGCUAUUAUCCUUAAUUUGCAAUAAAUCUAUAAAUUCUGUGAAUUAAUUUCCUGGGAUGCAUUAGAUAUAAAUGGAAAUAAUUCAAUAAAAUACAAAUUCCUGGUAUAAGUACUGCUAACAUCUUCUCAUCUUGCAUACUCACCAACAAUGGCUAAGAAUGGGUUUUUACUCUGUUACCUUCUCUCUGUUCUCAUGCUUAGCCUGAGCCUUCUCUGUGAUGGUUACAACGGAGAUAGAAAAGUAAGAAAAAUCUGUCCUUUUCAUACUUAUGUUGAUAAUUCAUUUGUUUUAUGUACAUAUUGUAUGUAUAUUAUUUAAACUACUAUUGAUGCUGAUGAUGAUGCAGGUCCAUAUUGUGUACAUGGGAUCACUUCCUGACCGCGAGUAUUCACCAUCAUCUCAUCAUCUUACUAUGCUACAAGAUGUUGUUGAUGAGAGCAGGUGACAUUUACAGACCAGUCAUUAUUUUCUUUCAUUCUCCUCAUCCUCUAGUAAAUUCAAUGUAGAUGGACGAAAUAUAGCUGGAAUUCGGACUAUAGAUCUCUAUCUCUAACAGAAAAUCGAACAAUCGAUUAUUUAUAUCCUAACAUUUUUAUUAUUCUUCUAUACCAGUUCUGCAGAAAAUUUGUUAAUUAGAUCUUACAAAAGGAGUUUCAAUGGAUUUGCAGCAAGAAUCACUGAUGAUGAGAGAGAGAAGCUAGCUUGUAAGUGAUGCAACAUGCUUACCUGUCCCAUUUAAUCAAUUCAAUAUAUGUUUAAAUGGAAGAUCAAAAUAUUUGUGUAUGUAUUUUUAAACUUUUAAAUAUGCAGCAAGGGAAGGAGUUGUCUCAGUUUUCCCCAGUAGAAUGUAUAAGCUCCAAACAACAAGAUCUUGGGAUUUCAUGGGGUUCAACGAGAGCGUAAAACACGAAGCCAGUGCUGAGAGUGAUAUUAUAAUUGGUGUUAUUGACACCGGAGUCUGGCCCGAAUCGGAAAGCUUUAAUGAUCCAGGUCUUGGUCCUCCUCCGAAGAAGUGGAAGGGUGCUUGUGUUGGCGGCAAAAAUUUCACUUGCAACAAGUAAUCUUCCCAAACACUAUAAAGUCAUUUUUUAUUAAUGUGCAUUUUAUUACUAUAUAAUCAUGACUUAAAUGUUUAAUGCAUAACUAAAUACAAAAAUUUUUGUUCAUUUUCCAUACAACUAAAGUUUUGAGAAAACUCAGCCUAAAUGCUAUACACAUAAUCUUGAAAGCUUUCUAACAUUAUGUGUUGCAUACUGAUGUGUAUAUACAGCAAGCUGAUUGGAGCACGAUACUAUAAUUCAUCGGGUGCAGAGAUUGAUUCUACAAGAGAUUUCGAUGGUCAUGGAACCCAUACUGCUUCUACAGCUGCAGGAAACAAAGUAAAGGGUGCAAGUUUCUAUGGUCUGGCUCAAGGAACUGCAAGAGGAGGCGUUCCCUCUGCGAGAAUUGCUGCCUAUAAUAUUUGUGAUGAACACGAUUGUCCUUCAGAGAAUGUAUUGGCAGCUUUUGAUGAUGCUAUUGCUGAUGGAGUUGAUAUUUUAUCAGUUUCAUUAGGACUACAAAAUCCAGCCCCGUUCGAGUAUGAACCUGUUUCAAUUGGUGCUUUCCAUGCAAUGCAGAAAGGAAUUCUCACCGUGCAAGCAGCAGGAAAUACAAUCUCUACUUACAUUAAUGGAUCAGUGUCGGCUAUAUCUCCAUGGAUUCUUUCAGUAGCAGCAAGUACCACAGAUCGGUUUUUCAUCGACAAAGUUGUUCUUGGGAAUGGCAAGACAUUAGUAGUAAGUAUCACUAAAAAUUUUUUCUUCAACAAGAGAUCUUUUCCAUCUAUAUAUAAAGAAUUAUUUCGUAUAAUGGGUUUCUCUUGAUGUGAAUAAUUGCUCACUUGUGUAGUGAUGAGGUUUCUAUACUAAUGACUGGCUCAACGCGAACAGGGGGUUUCAAUUAAUGCUUUUAGUCUAGGUGGAGUGAAGUAUCCGUUGAUAUUCGGAGAAAACAUAACGAGAUCAUCCAAGUGCACAAAGGAUCUUACGGAGUAGGUUCUAGCUAUGCAGAAAGUUAUAUUUACUUUUAAACGAGACCUUCUUGGUCAAUUGCACUAAUAAAGGCAUUUUGCCCUCAAUGAAAUUCAGGUCUUGCUCUAUCGAUUGCGUAGAUAGUGAUUUGGUGAAGGGAAAAAUUGUGUUAUGUGAUUGGUUCUAUGGAAACUUCUUGGUUGAGAGAGCAAAAUCAGCCGUGGGAUCAAUAACUAAAAGAGACCAUGAUAAUUAUACUGCUCAAAUUCCUAUUUUACCAACAUCAGAUUUAAGCCCGGAUGACUUCGACAAUGUCAUUACCUAUGUGAGCACAACAGAGUAAGGAUACAUCACUAUGUACAUAUCUUCACUCCCAUUGAAUAUACAUAAAUAUAUACAUUUACUUCCUUUGCUUCAUUCUUGUAUGAUAUCUUGCAGGAAACCUGUUGCGGAAAUAUUAAAAAGCGAGACAAUUGAAAGUUCAGAUGCCCCUCUUGUGGCUUUCUUCUCCGCACGUGGCCCUAAUUUGAUUGUACAUGAUGUUUUGAAGGUAAAUAUUCCUCACCCUUUUUAUAUUCAAUGUCGAAAAAUUAUUUUGUACAAUAGGUACAUGCUGAUGGAAUUCUAUUAAGUGACAUAAUUUUUUAUAAAAUUCUAAUGGUUCUGAAACAAUUGUUGAUUGAUACAAUGCAGCCAGAUUUAACAGCUCCUGGAGUGGAUAUCUUGGCUGCAUAUUCUCCUCUUGGUUCACCCGCUAGAGACCCCACUGAUCAUCGGCAUGUAAAGUACAGUAUAUUGACUGGAACCUCCAUGUCUUGCCCCCAUGCUGCUGGUGCCGCUGCUUAUGUCAAAUCAUUUCAUCCUGACUGGUCUCCUUCAGCCAUAAUGUCUGCUCUGAUGACCACUGGUGAUCUUCUAUCAGACCAAAAUUAAUAAGAUACUCAUUGAUUGCAAACGAGUUGAAAAAAAAUUGGUUUUGUUUAAAUUUUUGCUCAUUACUUUUAUGACAGUUGAAAAUAAACUGAUUAUAUUUGUAACGUUUUCAAACUUGUAUAUGUUUUUGAAGUACUCUAAGAAACAAAGAUUAUUUUUUGUCUGAUUUCAUAGUCAAAUAUCAAUGUUUCUUGCUAACCAAGCAAAUAAAUUUUUCUUUUUUCUCUUUAGCUUGGUCGAUGAAUUCUUCGAAGAAUCCAUACGGAGAAUUUUCUUAUGGAUCCGGGCAUAUCAAUCCCGUAAAAGCCAUAGAUCCUGGACUAGUAUAUGAUGUUGCUAAUAAAGGGGACUACAUAGAGUUGCUAUGUGGCAUGGGCUAUAAUGGAAGUAAACUUAGACAAAUAACAGGAGACAAUAGCACCUGUCUUAAAGGUGGAGAAAAGUUCUUGGCCAGAGAUCUUAAUUAUCCUUCAAUGGCCCUCAGAGUUCACAAAAGACAGGAAUUUAAUGUUACUUUUCAUCGAACUGUCACAAAUGUUGGCCCUGAAAACUCCACUUACAGGUUGAAUGUUACCCCGGAUCCGAAGAGUAGAAUUGAAGUGAUGCCUGAAAUUCUCACGUUCAAGUCUCGGAAUGAGAAAAAGUCUUACCAAGUUACCGUGGCGGGAAAAUUAAUGGAAUUCUCAGAACGAGCUUCUGCAUCUUUGGUCUGGUCUGAUGGCAUUCAUAAUGUGAGGAGUCCCGUUGUUGUUUAUACUCCCGAAUUUGAAUAAUCGAUUUAUUUGGCUGAUAAUCCAGAUCGUACAUGAUGGAAUAAUGUGUUUUACCCCAAAAUUAAUAAAUUUAUAAUUUUUAUGUAAAUUUAAGUACCAAAGUGAAUGUCUGUGUGAUGUGUAUAUUUAUAAUCUUUAUAUAAGCUUACACAGGGAGUAACGGGGAUAUUCAUAUGUGUGUGUGCAUGUAUAUAUAUUGUCUCUAGCAGCGACUGCAAAUUACAUUAAAUUCAAUGGCGCCCAGGCUACUCGGAAGUUUCCAAACGCCCUCCGUCUUCCGUUCCGGUUGCCUCAGGGUCUUAUCGUCCCUCUCCGCUGCCCAUAACGACGCCGUAGCAGCCGACAGAAUCCUCCUCGACCUCCCCAAACUGGAACCUUCAAACGAGGCCGACUCGCUCUCGCAGAUCCUCCUCAACCACCACAACCCUUUCCACUUCAUGGAAUCUCCUCAGCAACUCCACGGGGUCUCUCUCUCUACUCACCUUCUCCACCAGACCCUUCUCCGCCUCCGUCACUCUUCCAAAAUUGCCCUUGCCUUCUUCCAUUAUUCUCAGUCCCUGCCAUUCCGCCCCGCCGCCGCCACUUCCUACAACCUCCUCAUCGACAUCCUCGGGCGGGUCCGCCAGUUCGACGUCGUUUGGCAGCUAAUAGUGGAAAUGGACCAAAACAACAUUCAGCCUAACUCUCACACUUUCUUGAUUCUUAUUCGGAGGUUGAUCGCUGCCGGACUCACACGGCAGGCCGUGCGCGCGUUCGAUGACAUGCCAUGUUUCAUCGACGAUAAGGUCAGCAUCAACGAGUUCUGUUUCUUGUUGGAUACUUUAUGUAAGUACGGACACGCGAAGGUGGCUGUCGAGGUUUUCAACAAGAGGAAGUACGAGUUCGGAGUUGAUGGUAAACUUUACACCGUUUUGAUUGAUGGGUGGUGCAAGAUUAGGAGGAUGGAUAUGGCAGAGAGGUUCCUGAGGGAGAUGAUCGAGAAGGGUAUCGAGCCGAAUGUGGUUACCUACAAUGUGCUCUUGAAUGGUGUCUGCAGGAGGGCCAGGUUGCAACCCGAGGAGAGGUUUGAGCGGACGAUAAUGAAUGCAGAGAAGAUGUUUGAUCAAAUGCGUCAAAGAGGAAUUGAGCCAGAUGUUACUAGUUUCUCCAUUGUCCUUCAUGUAUAUAGCAGGGGACAUAAGCCGCAGUUGACGCUUGAUAAGUUGAAGUUGAUGAAAGAGAAGGGUAUAUCUCCCACGGUGGCAACAUAUACAUCUGCUAUUAAGUGUCUUUGUUCUUGCGGGAGGCUCGAGGAUGCGGAGGAAUUGCUUGAGGAAAUGGUGAGGAAUGGUGUCAGUCCUUCCCCGACGACUUACAAUUGCUUUUUCAAGGAAUACAGGGGAAGGAAAGACGUCCAUGGUGCUUUGAACUUGUAUAGGAAAUUAAAAGAAGACACCUUGUGUGUGCCAAGCUUGCAGACGUACAAUAUAUUGUUAGGUAUGUUAAUGAAGUUGGAUAGAAUGAAGGCUAUAGAAGAGAUAUGGGGUGAUAUGAAAGUGAGUGGCACAGGACCGGAUUUGGAUUCCUAUACCUUGUUGAUUCACGGGUUAUGUGAGAGGCAGAGGUGGAGAGAGGCUUGCCAGUACUUUGUAGAGAUGAUUGAGAGGGGUUUUCUACCCCAAAAAGUUACUUUUGAGACACUAUAUAGAGGCUUGAUACAAUCUGACAUGUUGAGAACCUGGAGGAGAUUGAAGAAGAAGCUUGAUGAAGAAUCAAUAACUUUCGGCUCAGAGUUUAAAAACUACCCCUUCCAGCCAUAUAGGAGAUGAAAAUUAUGCUUCUUUACAUAUCCACUUCAUGAAUGCUACUUGUUUUGACUCAUUCAAUUCAAUAGCCUAGCUUCUUCUGAUGUCCAGGUGAAUGGGUGAGGACGAGACUUCAACAAUUCAGUGAUUCAGCGACAGAACUUAUUGAUUUAUGAUUUCUACCAGCUACCAAUAUGCCAUCUCAUUCAGUCGAAGGAGAUCCAUCCAGUGUGGAAGCUUACAUGCGCUGUAUGGCCUUCAAAAAACCUUGUGGUCGAAAUGACUCAACCUUAGCAGACUGCUGGUACAACUCCACUUUAACUCUAGCCUCAAAAUGUUUCCUUCCAAGCAUUCAAUGGUUAUCUGCACUUACAUUUCAACAAUUAUUGAAAUUGAGACAUCUUCAGCCUCCUUGAAGGUAGUUUUAGAAGAAAAACGGCAAAUGAGUAGAAUGCUUAAGGAGCAGUUUCAAAAGGUCCAAACUAGAGGUAAGCAAUAUGCCGAUAAACACUGAGUUUAAUGUAGGGUGAGCUGGUGUUGCCCAAACUUCAACCCUACAGGCUGCUCAUUGGCUGUGAGCUCAAGCCCUCUCCUAAAUUCAAUGAACUGUUUGAAGUGGUAAAGAAGACUGGGGAUAUGGCAUACCGGUUGCUGCUGCCUAAGGAAUCUCAAGUUCAUCCAGUGUUUCCUGUUUUUCUCUUAAAGAAGUAUGUGGCAAGAAAACAUAUUAUUCUAAAGGCUUACUAAGUGUCAGUGAGGAGGAGCAAUUCAACGUUGAAUCCUUGAAUAUCUUACAACUCCGGAAGGUCCACAGACAAAGUCAACUGGUUGAUCAAGUACUGGUGCAGUAGGUUUAUUUUGGACCAGAAGAACCAACUGGGAAGAUGUCAUAUUUCUUGGCAAAAGAAUGGUGCAAUAAGCAUGCCAUAAAGACCCACAUAUUUUAUUAUUUCAUAUAUAGGCGCACAUAUAUACAAUAAACAUUUCAUAUCGUGCUCCAUAAUGAUCAGACUGUACAACUAUAUUCAAUAAUAAUAAUGCAGUCCAAUUGGAUUAAUAGAUGUUUUGAAGAUUACUUUAGUUUGAGUAAAUAAUCAUGCCAAUUCUCUAUCCUGCUUACACGACUAAUCAUUUUAGAGUAAAUAUUUAUAUUUGUUAUAAAACAUCAUAUAGGGUGUAAAAACCCAUAGAAUAUCCAUGAUUUCAUUCCAUUUUCGCAAGAAAAAAUGCAGAGAAAAUCUAUUAAUUUUUUUUCCUGUCAAUUUACCAACUUUUUCUCCUUUAAAAGGAAUCUCCACCCUUACACUGCUUAAACCUUUUCCUUUUCUUCUCUCCAUUUAACCUUGUACGCAUCGAGGAGACAGGACAUGUCUUAGCUGUGCUCAAUGAUUUUGUUGUAAGCAUCUGGUUUCCUGCACAUGUACUGGCUAUGGCUUUUUUACAACUAAUUGAUGAGGUCAAUGUUUUUUAAUAGUGAAAAGAGGUAGUAUUGGCUUAUAUACUGCCAAUUUAAACCCAUAAAAUAUAAGCUAUUUUGUUUUGUGGGAAGAGUUAAUGCUUGUUGACUAAGCAACCAUUUUGAUUUCUAAUAAUUCUGCAAUUCUUUUUGGUAUUCUCUUAUAGUUGGGAGAGGCUUAUUGUGAAGGAAGAUCAGUGAGGUUUCUGCUGUGUUAAUUUGGGUCCAGCCAUGAAGUUGAAAACCAUAUGUUUCUGUAUUCCUGCGGGGAAAAAAGCAAAGGGAGAGGAGAAGGAGGAGGAGGAGUCAGAAAAUUCUUCCAGCAGUGAAAAAUCCCAGAAGAAAUCUGAUAAAAGCAAACAACGCGUUGCUGAAAAUGAUAAUGUAGGAGCCAACCAAGGGACUGCCAUGAGUACUACUGCCACCAAUGAUGCACCCAUGGUCGCAGCUGCAGUGGUAGGCACAGCUGCUGUUGUGGCUGCCAUGGAGGGAACUGGCGGCGGCGGUGAUGGUGGUGACAACGGUGGUGAUGGUUGAUGAGUGUUAUUGAAAUUCAAUUGGUUGAUUUUACUCUUUUUUGCUUUGGCUAUAUAAUUCAUUUUCAGUCUUUCAGUUGUCCAUUUGGAAUCACUUUCAUCUGUUUUGCUUGCCACUUUCUCUUCUGUUAUGAUCUUUCUGUUGGACAAUUUUAAAUUUUCAUGGUGAAAAUCUGUAAUCUGCAUAUGUCAAUCCUGCAGAUUACCUGCCUUUUCUUUUUUCAUAAUUCAUUGUGUUGUUAUUAAAGUAAUUCUUUGAAAAAAAAAAAAGGCCGGUUUAAAUUAUAGUUGCUUGUAUGUGAUUGAGCUUAUUAUCGUAGUUAUAAUCAAGUACUAUCAUAAUAUAUGUCUAUAAAACGACGACGUUUCAUUUAGCCUACCAUACCCCAACGUUUUUCCCGGAUAAUCCGCUCCCAUUUUCGAUGCCACACUUGGGAGUCGUAACUCCAUUCCUGGUUCUCUCACGGCUACGUACUAUCAAUCAAUCCAUCGAUGCAGACCGACUAUUUGCAGAAAGCAUGGCGGCGACGGCCACCCGGGACCCGAACUUGCGGUGGGGACAACUGGGGGAAGACGACACUCUAGACCUGGACUUUCAGCCGUCACCGGAGCAGGUAAUAGGCCCAGAUGAGAACGGCAUAACCCUAGCUCUUCCGUGCCCUAGUUCUCUCCAUUAAUCCAUCAAUUAAGAGCGAAGGUUCGCAGAAAUCAUGGAGGAGGACGUAAAGAAUGGGAGAGAUGGAGGAGGACGAGGCGAAACAAGACUUCCUGCUGCCACCGAAGCAGGAAAUAGGGCGACACUGUAACGGCGUAAAGAAUGUGAUAGAGUACAGAUUCUACGGCAAAGGCGAGGAGGUUAAGUGUAUCACCACUACUUGUACUCAUAUCUGCAUUUUUUUCCUUUUUUUUUUCUUUUGUAACGUUAAAAUAGGAAAUUUUUUCUAUAAAGGCCAAUAGUUGAGAGACCUAGCCUGAGCCAAACUCUCAGAUUUAAGUGAAUUCCAAACCAAAUUAACUUUGAAGGAAGGAAAUUUCCUUCUAAUUAUACUACUACUACUACUUAUUUAAGCGUAAAACUCUUAUUAAUAAAUUAUAUUUCCUUUCUCUAAUCUUACCAUAUACGAAUUCUGCGGGUAGUCUCUUUUUACGCUCAUUACCCUACCCAAAGAAGACAAAAAAGAGCAUGGCCCCUCAAAACUAACAAUCAUGGAGGAAGUCUUGAGGAAGGAACGCUAUUCAGAAGAUGAAAUUGGUGCCAUCGUGACUCUUGCUAUUCUCAAGCGUACAAAAUUGGAUAGUCUAACUCUUUCUGCUCUUGAUGAACAUAAAACCAAAUAUUUGGAAGCCAUUAGAAAAAAUAUUACCAGGCGAAUCCUGCAAAUAACCAAUGAGAAGAUAACCCCAGAAGCCACCACCAGCCCUGCAAAUAACAUCAUUCUGGGAAACCAACAGUCCCCAGCAGGCGAAUCCUCCUCUUCCUCCUCGGUUGACGGGUAUAUCCCGCCUGAUAUUCCCCCUGUACCCAGCCUGCAUGGCUUCAUUAGAAUAUGCAGCAGGCCCUUUCAGAAGCAGUUGACAGAGACUGAUGUGAAGGAUAGUCAAAACAGGCUGUCAAUGAAGAAGAUGCAUGUGGAAGAAUUGCUGAAGCCACUGUUGGGACCUGAGGAGGACCUUGUUAAGGGCAUCCCUGUUACCACAUUUGAUUAUAGGGGCACUGCCUACCCAAUGGUGUUUAAGAUUUGGGUGUCCAAGAUUUAUGUUCUGAUCAAUGGGUGGAAAAGGUUCCAAAAUGAUCAUGGCCUGAGGAAGAAUGAGGAUUUUGUUACAAUUUGGAUGUUUAGGCAUGACGUGAUGGGGAACCUGUGUUUUGUGAUCAUUGCAAGGAGGUUACCCGGGGCUCAGCCGCUGAAGAUCAAGAGGACAAAACAUAAUCAUUUAAGCAAUAGCAACAAUGAGGUCGCUUGAUGGUGGCAAGGUCAAAUAGUAUUGGUAGUCCUGUUAAGUGUAUAUCCCAUUAGUUUCGAGUAGUAUAUUUGGAAUAUAGGAAUUCUUUCUCCAUUGGAGUUUUAAGUUAUUUAAAUUCUAUUUUUCUGAAAGAAUUAAAAAUAUUCUUGAUAGUUGGUGAAUAAGAAAUAGGAAUUAUAUUCUUUAAAGUUUAGCACAGAUGCUUCCAAAACCCGAAUUUUAAAUCAAGUUAUCACAUUUAUUUUCUCAUUUAAGUCUUUGAAUGAGAUAAAGUCUUUAAACAUCAUUGUUUUUGGUAGAAGAUUGUAACAUCUAGAAAGAGUAUAGCAUCUGUCAUCUUGUUUAAUUGGAACUAAUAGAGUGAGAAAUCCAUCUAUGUGAAUGCCUCCACGUCUAUUAGAAUGCGUUUAAUCAAUGUUCAACUUAAGAACAACUAAGUAGCCCUAAAUCCAAUAGGAAGUAGUUUUGAUUCAAUAGAAGCCAGUCUUAUGGCUGCUUCCUUAUUGUUUGCUUGAUCCUGUGUAACUAUGUGAUAUCUUUAAGUGCAACCUGUAGAGUAAUCAGGUACCAAGUUUAUUUGUGCCUGCACAGUUGAUUUCCUGCUUGGUUUAUCAUAAUUUCCUUUCGUUGAGUUUUUGGUGUCUAAUAUCACAAAUAAGAAGCACUGAACAGCUCUGACACCAAAUGUUCCUCAACCAAACUCACUUGUUCAGCCACCAUUUUGAUGAUAGUCUAGUGCCAGUGGUAUGUGAUUAGUAUUUUAAAGCUGGAGUUUCUAAGUUCAGUUAUUUUCUGAGUUUUUGUCUGAAAAUUCAAGUUUUCAUGUGCCUUUUCUAUAUAGCAUCUUGUCUGGUGAUUUAUUAUUUGAACCCUAAUACUUGGUGAAAAUUCUAGUGAGAGACUAAUUGCAAGAGUGGUUAUUAUAGCUCAAACAGAAAUAUUUCACAGCAGAAGGAUACUACAAUAAUCAUGCCAUAAGAAGCACUCACACUAAUAGCUCCAUCUCUCCUUAUUACGAAAAAUAAUUCAUAUGUACAAAUAGAGGACAUCAAGAGAUCAACUUGAUUGUCCCUCUAAAUUCUUGAAUUUGGUGGCCUCCUUGUUGUUGAACUGCAUAUUUUAUUUUUUUGUCCAUAUUAUAUAUUUUUUUUUUAUUUUAUAUAAUAAACUAUAUUGCUUGCUUCGAGUGAAUUAAAAAUUGUAUCCAUGGUAAUUCCAUAAUAAUUUGACUUAGAAUUUUAUUCAAUAAUAAUAUUGUGUAUAAUUGAAUGAAGUAUAUGUUCUCAAGAUUACUUUAGUUUGAUAAUUGAUCGGGCCAAUUCUCUAAUCAUGUUCACACAACUAAUUGUUCUAGAGUUAGCAUCUACUUCUGUUAUAAACAUUUUACACAACGGCCUGUGCCCUUGAUGUUAGCUACUAAACUUCAUUUUGUCUAAGAUGUGAAAACUCAUAGAAUAUAUCAUCCUUCAAUUCACCCAUGCAUGCCUUUGGAAAAUCUAUAAAAAUUUAUCACUCAUUUUUUUCCCUCCAUUUACCAACUUUAAUUUUUUUAAAAAAGUAUCUCUGCCUUUACAUUGCUUAAAACUUUUUCAAUUUCUCAUCAUUUAACUUCGUACGUAUUGACCAGACAGGACAUGUCUUAGCUGUGCUCAAUGAUUUUGUUGUAACAUAAAUUUUUCUUGCACAUGUACUGGCACUGGCUUUUUGCAACUAGUCGAUGAUGCUGACAUAUUUUGUUAGUGAAUAUAAAAUAUGUUGGCUUAUAACUAAUGAUUUAAACUCAUGAGAUAGAAGGCCGUGUUUGGAGAAGUUAGUGGUUAUUGGAUAGACAACCAUUUCAGUUCGUAAAGGUUGUGGAACAUUUUUCGUGUUCUCUUAUAGUGGGGAGAAGCUGAUUUGAAGGAAGAUCAGAAGGUUGGUUUUCCACUACUGGUAAUUUGGUUUUCAGCCAUGAAGUGGAAAAGCAUAUGUUUCUGUAGUCCUGCAGGGAAACAAGCGAAAGGAGAGGAGAAUGAAUCAGAAAAAUCUUCUAGAAGUGAAAAGGGCUCCAAGAAAUCUGAUAAAAGUAAGGAACAUGUUGCUGAAGAUGACACCAUGGGGAGCCCCGCAGAGGACCGCCACUAGUGCUACUGCCACCAAUGAUGCUGGCUUGGCUGCACUUGCUGUGGCAGCAUAAGCCACCUGUCUGUCUACUAUGGAUUGAAAUGUUGGGGGUGGUGGUGGUGGUGGUGGUGGUGGUGGUGGUGGCGGCGGUUGAUUGGGUGUUGUAUUAAAAGUGAAUUGGUUGGUCUUGCUUUUAUUUUCUCUGGCUGUGUAAGUUUCUUUGCAUUUCAGUUGUUCAAUUGACUUUGUUUCUGGUGUAUGCAAUGAGAUAGGGAGAUCACUUUGACCUAUUUUCUUUGCAAGCUCUCUCUUAUGGUGUGAUUUUUGGUAUGAAAUGUGGGUUUUCUUGUCUGGAAAAUCUGGUAAGCUGGGUCAUGUCAACCAAGGUUCAGUGCAUUUUCUGAUAAAUGUUCACUUGAUGUGUUGGCAAUGUGUGCAAUAGAGAGUACGUGCAUUUGGAUUCUUCAUUUUCUAGGUUUUGUUUUUUGGAAUUUAUACAUACACAAUUAUUUUGAACUGUGAAAAAGAAUUCAUUUAUGCACUCCUUUAUUCCUUGGCUACUUGGUUUCCAUUUCUUACCCACAAGCUCGAGCUCUAUACAUAUAUGAUUUCUUUUGUUGUAAUGCCUGUUUACUUCAGGUACUGAGAGCAUUUUUUCCCCUCUAAUCAACAAUAUAACCAAUAGGUCUUAGCUUGGACAACCCAGAGGCUAAUUCAGCCUUUAAGUUUCAGUUUUCUCUUGGUUUUCAUGUGUUUUUUAGAUAUGAUCUUAUAAUGAAUGUUGACUUGAGUUUUAUUUGAGUUGUGAAAUUAUGUUUUGAACUUAAUGCAGGGUUCCACAAUAGUGAGACAAACAGUAUUUUACUUCAGAUUUUCUGAUAAUCAUAUCUUCUUUUAGAUAAGAUCUUGUAUGAAAGCUUACUAGACUACUGACUUUGUCUUGGGUAUGAGAUUCUUUUGCAGUCUUUAAUUUUUUUUUUUUCUUAGUUAUUUGGUCACUUUAUUUUACACUGGCACUAAAUUCUUCAAAUGUCUUCUUUUCCGGCAUGCGCUCGUUAUAUGCAAUCCUUUGUUUGGUUAGCUGUAUAAAUUUGUUAUUAUCUGCCAAUGAUGCCUCAAUCAGAUCAAAUAUAAAAAUAGAAUCUGUACAUUUUAAUAGAACUGAAAAGAUGAGAUUUUGCUGAUGGUUGUGACCAAUUUGGCAUUUGUCAUAUAUAGUAUCAUGAAUCCUUUUGUACCCCCCACAAUAUAAAUACCUGUCGGGCAAUUUGGAGGUACUGUUUGAGUUAUUCACUUUUAAUAUUAUAAAAAAAAAAAAAAAAAAAAGGUGAAUCCCUGUAAUAUAAUAUAUUGUCUUUAUAAAAUAAAAACCACUUUUCCAUGACAACCCAAAGGAACCAAAUACGACGACGCUUCAUUCGGUGGAAAAAUGUCCAGCAAAAGCAAGGUAAUGUGGCGCUGAUGACAAUUAGAGCCGAUUAUACGACGCCGUUUCCUCUAUCUUCCUCCUGUAUUCGAUGGAACGCCCGGAGUCGCGAAACCCAAACCCAACUCGCCUGUGCCACUCGCUAUCAAUCUGUCAAUCGGAACCGUUGUUGGCAGAAAGCAUGGCCCCGGCGGCGACCCUGCAGAGGGAGAAGCUGGAGGAGGACGACACAGAAGACCUAGACUAUCUGCUGCCAACCAAAGCAGGAGAUAGGUCCAGAUGAGAACGGCAUGAAAAGGUGGUAACAUACAGGUUCAACGAAGAUGGUAACAGGUUAAGGUCAUCACCACCACCCGCACCCGCAAGCGCGUCAGGCUCGCCUCGGAAAGAGCGCCGUUGAACGCCGGUCCUGGCCCAAGUUCGGUGACGCUGUCCGGGAGGACGUAGGUAGUAAUCUGACCAUGGUAUCCACUGAUGAAGUCCUCCUCGAGCGCCCCAGAGUCCCCGGUCUGGUCCUCCCUCCUUAGUCUUCCAUUCUUGUGGGUCUCCUUUUACUAUCAUGAAUUUAGCUUACCGGGUCAUAACUCGUGAGAAAGUUUUUGUCCUUGACACUGAUUAAUUUAUGGAAGCUUUCAGUGAAACUAAUGAACAUGUAGAGAGUGAAAGGAAAUCUGCUUAACGCAAGGCCCUUGGUUUAGUAUUUGCUUUCCUCUCAUUCCAUUUUGUGUUAUUGGAAAGUAAACUAGAUAAAGAAUGAUAUUUAGCUUUGGUUUGAGCAUCGUUGCUAUUAAUCAUUUUUUUCUUUUAUUACCAAUGUUAGGUUAAAUAUAAAGUUCAGGACAAAUUGUGGUUUCAACCAUUGUAAUUUGGUCUUGUUGCCACAUAAAUCCUGUGAUUUUCUUAUCAAUGUUAUGCAAUUUUUUUGGGCUUUCCCUUGAGAUAAAAAGUAUAUAUUCAUAAUGCUUCAUCACUGAAUUUCACUGCUAUAUUUCUUUUCGUGAUUUGUUGUCCAUGAAAAACUCAAUGUGCUCUUCAAUGUUUUUUGCAGUUGAUCACAGAAAUUACUUUUCUCGGUGAUUUUGAACGAAUGGAGAAUGAAUUUCAAUGAUUUUUUUAGACAUAAGUUUAACAUUCGACCUGGAAAUGAUUUUCUUGUGCGGUUUUCUUGUGUGUAUACAUGCUUGAACAAAUGGUGGAUGCAUGAUAACUUCUGGUUUGGCUUUGUAGAAAUUUUCUAGUUCUUUACCGUCUCAAUGUUUACUAUUAUUUCAGGUAGGAAACCUUUGUCUCAAGGGCUUGAAUUAUGUAUAUAAUAUCAACUAAUAUCCAUUUAGCCUCAGCUUGCGGAACCUUGUGCCGCCUUAUUUUUCUUAUGCCUUAUUUUUCUUAUGAUCAUCACAGUUAUUAUUAACUAGUGGCUUUUGAAACAGGUAGCAAACCUGAAGAAGCCAAAGUUGCUGGAGAUUCCUUGGCCCAACUGGGGAAAGGUGGUGCAGUUCUUAUGGUAUGUUUGACUUGUGAUAAGAAUGAGGAUCAUUGGACAUCCAGGUGCCCUUACAAGGAUCUUGCUCUACAGGCUGAGGGUUUUGUUGAUAAACCCGAUGUGUCAGAAUCCACAGAUGCAUCUGGCGCAAGCAAGGGAACAUAUAUUCCUCCAGGACAAAGAGCUGGAGCCGAGAGAACUCAAACUGCUAUGAGACACUAUGAACAAUAAAAACUCCAUUAGGGUCGCAAACCUCUCAGAGAACACCCGGGAACCUGAUCUACUGGAGCUGUUCCAUCCGUUGGGUGCUGUAAGUUACGUUUAUAUUGCGGUUGAUCAGUGGACUGGCAUGACCAGAGGUUUUGGCUGCACAAAACAAGGAAGAUGCUCAAAGAGCUAUCAACAAACUGAAUGGGUAUGGUUGUGAAAAUCUCAUUCUGAGAAUGGAAUGGGCACAGUGAGGACAAAUUAACUAACUUGCGCAUUUGAUCCCAUGUUUGCUGCGGAAAUCCGAAGAUUUUCAACCUUAUCACGCUAGUUUCAGUUAACUUUUACUAUGGAUCAUCAGUUAUCGCCUGUUGAUAUUAGUAUAAAUCCAAGGACUGUUUGCUGUUAGUGAAGGAAAAAAACAGAGUUGAUGGUGAUUGUUGUAUCUGUUUUGCAUCAAGAGCGGCAUUUUUUUGUUAUUUUACAUAUAAAAAAAAACUAUCGAAU